Molecule: ribosomal RNA, 200 nt
Filed under: uncultured bacterium
Lineage: Bacteria
Description: partial 16S ribosomal RNA
Source: RNAcentral
GAUGAACGCUGGCGGUGUGCCUAAUACAUGCAAGUCGAGCGGUAAGGCUCUGCACUUAUUAUUUGAUCGCGGUAAUCUUUAAUGGUUGCUAAAGCGAACUGAUCCCAACUCUAGGCUAGAGAAAGGUGAGGCGAGCGGAGAUCGAAUACUGAGUGUAGAGUACACGAGCGGCGGACGGGUGAGUAACGCGUAAGAAUGUA